RNAcentral lists this ribosomal RNA (311 nucleotides) under uncultured eukaryote. RNAcentral's name for it is "partial large subunit ribosomal RNA". It matches the Rfam family "Eukaryotic large subunit ribosomal RNA", at positions 40 to 350 of the family's 3401-position model. The record is from RNAcentral.
AUAUUAUUAAGCGGAGGAAAAGAAAUCAACUGAGAUUUCCUUAGUAGUGGCGGACGAACAGGAAAGAGUCCAAGCUGUAAAUCUACGUGCUUCGUGCGUAGAGUUGUAAGCUCAAGAUUUAGCUCUAAAGGCCGAACUGGCGCAUAAGUGGCCUGGAACGGCCCGGCAAAGAGGGUGAUACCCCCGUAUUUGGCGCUAGGGAUGUUGAAAGACUGGAUCACAGAGUCGGGUAGCUUGGGAUUGCUGCCUUAAUUGGGAGAUAUACUUCUUCUAAGACUAAAUAUAGAUGGGAGACCGAUAGCGCACAAGUA